Molecule: long non-coding RNA, 386 nt
Organism: Triticum dicoccoides
Lineage: Eukaryota; Viridiplantae; Streptophyta; Magnoliopsida; Poales; Poaceae
Exons: 3
Source: RefSeq, a predicted model, not a curated record
AGUAUAAACGGACAAAGGAAGAAAUGUUCUUCAAGUCUCAAGCAUUGUUGGGUUCUGACGGUGAGAAUAUCUUUUACAGUGAGCUUUUGGCUAUCCUGGGUGGUGGGAAUGGCGCUAGAGGGUUCUCAGUUUAAUGCCAAGUAUUAUGACAACAAGAUGGUAUAGAUGCAGGUGGGAAUUUACUAUGACUCAGUUAGCAAAGCGGGUCUCACCUGCAGAGGAUGUGAUAAAAUAUUCCAGAGCCCGAGGAAGAGAAAUAAACCAAUAUGGUUAUUUCUAUGAUGAAAGGUAUGAGAAGUCAGCUUUAUUUAAAUAUGAAACAUACGUAAAUUAUUCAGAAAUUGUAUCAUGAGAAGCCCUCACUUAAACUGAACGAAACGUUGCUG